RNAcentral lists this ribosomal RNA (373 nucleotides) under uncultured Methanosaeta sp. RNAcentral's name for it is "bacterial SSU rRNA". It matches the Rfam family "Archaeal small subunit ribosomal RNA", at positions 967 to 1338 of the family's 1478-position model. The record is from RNAcentral. Lineage: Archaea; Methanobacteriati; Methanobacteriota; Methanomicrobia; Methanotrichales; Methanotrichaceae.
UUUGCCGGAGUUAGCUGAGAGGUGGUGCAUGGCCGUCGUCAGUUCGUACUGUGAAGCAUCCUGUUAAGUCAGGCAACGAGCGAGGCCCACGCCCACAGUUGCCAGCGUACUCUCUGGAGUGACGGGUACACUGUGGGGACCGCCGCUGCUAAAGCGGAGGAAGGAAUGGGCAACGGUAGGUCAGUAUGCCCCGAAUAUCCCGGGCUACACGCGAGCUACAAUGGUUGGUACAAUGGGUAUCUACCCCGAAAGGGGACGGGAAUCUCCUAAAACCAAUCUUAGUUCGGAUUGAGGGCUGCAACUCGCCCUCAUGAAGCUGGAAUCCGUAGUAAUCGCGUUUCAACAGAACGCGGUGAAUACGUCCCUGCUCCUU